Molecule: long non-coding RNA, 1807 nt
Organism: Cydia pomonella (codling moth)
Lineage: Eukaryota; Metazoa; Arthropoda; Insecta; Lepidoptera; Tortricidae
Exons: 2
Source: RefSeq, a predicted model, not a curated record
UCGGACUCGCCCAUGAAGGGUUCCGUACCAUUUAUGACGUAUUAAAAAAACUACUUACUAGAUCUGGUUCAAACCAAUUUUCGUUGGAAGUUUGCAUGGUAAUGUACAUCAUAUAUUUUUUUUAGAUUUUUCAUUCCGUUAUUUUAGAAGUUACAGGGGGGGGGACACACUUUUUUUCACUUUGGAAGUGUCUCUCGCGCAAACUAUUCAGUUUAGAAAAAAAUGAUAUUAGAAACCUAAAUAUCAUUUUUGAAGACCUAUCCUUAGAUACCCCACACGUAUGGGUUUGAUGAAAAAAAAUUUUUUUUUUAAUUUUUAUGACGUAUUAAAAAAGGACUACUUACUAGAUCUCGUUCGAACCAAUUUUCGGUGGAAGUUUGCAUGGCAAUGUAUAUCAUAUAUUUUUUUUAGAUUUUUCAUUCUGUUAUUUAAGAAGUUACGGGGGGGGGGGGGGGGACACACUUUUUACCACUUUGGAAGUGUCUCUCGCGCAAACUAUUCAGUUUAGAAAAAAAUGAUAUUAGAAACCUCAAUAUCAUUUUUAAAGACCUAUCCAUAGAUACCCCACUCGUAUGGGUUUGAUGAAAAAAAAUUUUUUGAGUUUCAGUUCUAAGUAUGGGCAACCCCUAAAAUUUAUUGUUUUUUUUCUAUUUUUGUGUAAACAUCAUAAUGCGGUUCAUAGAAUACAUCUACUUACCAAGUUUGAACAGUAUAGCUUUUAUAGUUUCGGAAAAAAGUGGCUGUGACAGAAUCGGACAGACAGACGGACAUGACGAAUCUAUAAGGGUUCCGUUUUUUGCCAUUUGGCUACGGAACCCUAAAAACCGGCCAAGAGCAUGUCGGGCCAUGCUCAGAGUAGGGUUCCGUAGUUACUCUUCCGUCACAAUAAGCUAAACUGGAGCUUAAAGUAUGGUAGAUUGUUAACCAAGGGAUGAACUGUGUGUGUACGUCUUUUUACUAUGAAGGGGAAACUUUUUGCGAUAACUCAAAAACAGCUAAACUGAUCAUGUCCGCUAUAGUUUUCAUUUAAUGUCUUUUUUAAGCUCUACUUCCACGAUUUUUUUCAUAUUUUUUGGACCUAUGGUUCAAAAGUUAGAGGGGGGGAACACAUUUUUUUUUCUUUCGGAGCAAUUAUAUCCGAAUAUAUUCACUUUAUCAAGAAAUUUUUGUUGAAGACCCCUAUUAGUUUUGAAAGACCUUUCCAACGAUGUCCCACACUGUAGGGUUGAAGCACAAAGAAAUGUUCACCCCCACUUUACGUGUAGGGGAGGUACCCUAAAAAAAAUCGAUUUUAUUGUACGACUUUGUCGGCUUUAUUGAUUUAUAUAUCCAUGCCAAAUUUCAGCUUUCUAGCACUAACGACCACGGAGCAAAGCCUCGGACAGACAGACAGACGGACAUGGCGAAAAUAUAAGGGUUCCUAGUUGACUACAGAACCCUAAAAAGAAGAUAUCCUCGCUUAAUCAGUCGGCAAAAAAAUAUAUUUAGACCUAUUGCAGAUUUAGGUAAUAUAUGAUCAUCUUGUCGACCUUGCAACUGAAUGCCUAAAAAAUGAAAUCUAUGGCCGUUUGGUCAAGGUCUUGUGUGUAAUUCCAAAGGCUCUCGUAAUCAUCAUAAACCAGUAUGAGUUAAUAGGGGCAUAAAACAAAAUUGUAGUUCUUAUAAUUAAUUUUUCAACUCGUCGACUGUAUAAUGGUUGAAUUAAGAUUUCGUAUAUCAAACUGUAAUUGCGUACUUUUCACGUAUGGACUCCACUCAACUAUAAGAUUCAUUUCGACACGCUGUAUGUAGUCAACUGUAAACAAAA